CUCAGCUUGGGGCCGCAUACUCAAAACUUCUAAAGGCGCUUUUGGCCGCAAGAUGUUUUUCCUAAGCGUUUUUCUUCCAAAAGGUGCAUACUCAAACGCUCUGUUGGGCGCCACCAUCUUUGAAAAUUGGCGGCGCUUUUCUGGUCGAAGGAGGCUUGGGGAGGCAUUUGGGAGCAGCAGUAGCAAAUGCUGCAGCAUCAGCAGCAGUGGAAGUAGUUGCGUUUCUUGACAAAUGAUUACGCAAAUUGUCUGGGCCAGGAACUGCAGAUGUAAUGGUUGUAUACUUUGCUGCCUGACAAUUGUGACAAGAAAAGAUUAUGACUCAUUAGAUAUCCCCUGCUGAAUGGUUACGAGUGCUUCCUUGAUAAAAUUCUGUCAGUACAUGAGCACAAGAGUGUAUAUUUGUUGUAUGGUUGCCUAAUGCAUGUUAGUUAGGUUAGGUUGGUCUGGAUGUAGUAAUUUAGAAUAGCCUACAUGUUUAACUGCCAGGAAAUCUGUUGGAAAAUGCAAAUUGUGUACUUUACUUCAUUGUUUAAGACAUUCAUUUUACCUAAGUGGUUUGUUAAGUUAGUUUAUCUGUGAUGUGACACAUAAGGUAGCACUAAUUUCUCCAACUUCUUUUAUCAUUACCAUUAGCUUUUGCUUUGAAUAACAGAGAUCAUUAUUGCUGUAUUGGGAGUGAUAGUAACAGGUUACAAAUGUACUGUUUCUGUUUGUUGUAUUGUUUCCAAAUUAACUAUCAUAUGUACAGCCAAGCUGUCUCAUACUUUUCAUUUUCACCCAUAUGUAUUUUCAUUACAUGUAUUAGGAUUUUUUUAUAUGCAGUUUCAUUUCCCUCACCCUGCCAUCUUUAUUAUAAUAAAGUAUUUACUCUAUAGGAAAAGAAAAUUUACAUUAUUUAUUUAUUCUUUAUUAAGUUAGGUUUGUAUACUACAAUGUUUAAGCCAUCUUUCAUACAAAAAUAUAUUAAAAUGAAA
This is a long non-coding RNA of Portunus trituberculatus (swimming crab), 977 nucleotides long. RefSeq lists it as uncharacterized. The record is from RefSeq and is a predicted model, not a curated record. The transcript has 2 exons. Lineage: Eukaryota; Metazoa; Arthropoda; Malacostraca; Decapoda; Portunidae.